GGCAGACGGGUGAGUAACACGUGGGAACGUGCCCUUCGGUUCGGAAUAACUCAGGGAAACUUGAGCUAAUACCGGAUACGCCCUUUUGGGGAAAGGUUUACUGCCGAAGGAUCGGCCCGCGUCUGAUUAGCUAGUUGGUGGGGUAAUGGCCUACCAAGGCGACGAUCAGUAGCUGGUCUGAGAGGAUGAUCAGCCACACUGGGGCUGAGACACGGCCCAGACUCCUACGGGAGGCAGCAGUGGGGAAUAUUGGACAAUGGGCGCAAGCCUGAUCCAGCCAUGCCGCGUGAGUGAUGAAGGCCUUAGGGUUGUAAAGCUCUUUCGACGGGGACGAUAAUGACGGUACCCGUAGAAGAAGCCCCGGCUAACUUCGUGCCAGCAGCCGCGG
This 388-nucleotide ribosomal RNA is filed under the name uncultured bacterium. Its description in RNAcentral is "bacterial SSU rRNA". It matches the Rfam family "Bacterial small subunit ribosomal RNA", at positions 97 to 520 of the family's 1533-position model. The record is from RNAcentral.